RNAcentral lists this ribosomal RNA (278 nucleotides) under uncultured bacterium. RNAcentral describes it as "partial 16S ribosomal RNA". It matches the Rfam family "Bacterial small subunit ribosomal RNA", at positions 134 to 400 of the family's 1533-position model. The record is from RNAcentral.
AAAAAAAAAAUAACUUCAGGAAACUGGGGCUAAUACCGGAUAGGAGCUCCUGCUCCAUGGUGGGGGUUGGAAAGUUUCGGCGGUUGGGGAUGGACUCGCGGCUUCUCAGCUUGUUGGUGGGGUAGUGGCUUACCAAGGCUUUGAUGGGUAGCCGGCCUGAGAGGGUGACCGGACACAUUGGGACUGAGAUACGGCCAAGACUCCUACGGGAGGCAGCAGUGGGGAAUAUUGCAUUAUUUGUUGAAGCCUGAGGCAGCAACCGCGCUCUACACGUAAGG